RNAcentral lists this unclassified non-coding RNA (391 nucleotides) under soil metagenome. Its description in RNAcentral is "partial contains 5.8S ribosomal RNA, internal transcribed spacer 2, and large subunit ribosomal RNA". The stretch from base 1 to 122 matches the Rfam family "5.8S ribosomal RNA", at positions 35 to 154 of the family's 154-position model. The record is from RNAcentral.
GAUGAAGAACGCAGCGAAAUGCGAUACUUGGUGUGAAUUGCAGAAUCCCGUGAACCAUCGAGUCUUUGAACGCAAGUUGCGCCCGAAGCCAUUAGGCCGAGGGCACGCCUGCCUGGGCGUCACACGUCGUUGCCCCCCCAUCUACUCCUUCGGGAUUGCGGGGGGCGGAUGAUGGCCUCCCGUGCGCCUCGUCGCGCGGUUGGCAUAAAUGCCAAGUCCUCGGCGACGCACGCCACGACAAUCGGUGGUUGCGAAACCUCGGUUGCCCGUCGAGUGCGGUCGUCGCGCAUCGAGGGCUCGAAAAAAUUGCCGGGCUCCGGCUCGGCUUUCAACGCGACCCCAGGUCAGGCGGGGUUACCCGCUGAAUUUAAGCAUAUCAAUAAGCGGAGGA